CGGCAGCACAAAGUAAUAGAAGCUUGUUGUCAUCUUCCAUGUCCAUAUUCCAAUCUACACAAAUUAUUAUGAGUUCACUCAGAUUCAUCCAAACUAAAUAAAUAAUUAUUAUCGAAAAUAGUGCUAUGGCUGGCUUUUCAUUUAUGAAAAAAUCUCUGUUAAUGACACACACAGCUGUAAAUGCUACACUGUUCAAGAUUAAACUUAAAAUUAUACGAAUAAAGUACGUUUUGCUUCUCCAUUCAAUAUUUGCUUCUGUGUUUAAAAAUUUCGUAAACAACAUUAAUAGGACUGACGAGGUCAUGUCUGAAAAAAAUUCAAACAGCAUUUUAUCG
Molecule: long non-coding RNA, 335 nt
Filed under: Mytilus galloprovincialis (Mediterranean mussel)
Lineage: Eukaryota; Metazoa; Mollusca; Bivalvia; Mytilida; Mytilidae
Source: RNAcentral